This 72-nucleotide transfer RNA is filed under the name Camelus bactrianus (Bactrian camel). It matches the Rfam family "tRNA". Rfam says of the family: Transfer RNA (tRNA) molecules are approximately 80 nucleotides in length. Their secondary structure includes four short double-helical elements and three loops (D, anti-codon, and T loops). Further hydrogen bonds mediate the characteristic L-shaped molecular structure. tRNAs have two regions of fundamental functional importance: the anti-codon, which is responsible for specific mRNA codon recognition, and the 3' end, to which the tRNAs corresponding amino acid is attached (by aminoacyl-tRNA synthetases). tRNAs cope with the degeneracy of the genetic code in two manners: having more than one tRNA (with a specific anti-codon) for a particular amino acid; and 'wobble' base-pairing, i.e. permitting non-standard base-pairing at the 3rd anti-codon position. Lineage: Eukaryota; Metazoa; Chordata; Mammalia; Artiodactyla; Camelidae. The record is from Rfam by way of RNAcentral. RNAcentral also lists the same sequence under 2 other names.
GAAGGUGUAGCUCCGUGGUAGAGUAUGUGCUUCGAAUGCACAAGGUCCUGGGUUCAAUCUCCAGUACCUCUG